UGGGGAAUAUUGCACAAUGGGGGAAACCCUGAUGCAGCGACGCCGCGUGAACGAAGAAGGUAUUCGUAUCGUAAAGUUCUGUCCUAUGGGAAGAUAAUGACAGUACCAUAGAAGAAAGCUCCGGCUAAAUACGUGCCAGCAGCCGCGGUAAUACGUAUGGAGCGAGCGUUGUCCGGAAUUAUUGGGCGUAAAGGGUACGCAGGCGGUUUAAUAAGUCGAAUGUUAAAGAUCGGGGCUCAACCCCGCAAAGCAUUGGAAACUGAUAAACUUGAGUAGUGGAGAGGAAAGUGAAUUCCUAGUGUAGUGGUGAAAUACGUAGAUAUUAGGAGGAAUACCAGUAGCGAAGGCGACUUUCUGGACACAAACUGACGCUGAGGUACGAAAGCGUGGGGAGCAAACAGG
This 402-nucleotide ribosomal RNA is filed under the name bacterium. Its description in RNAcentral is "partial 16S ribosomal RNA". It matches the Rfam family "Bacterial small subunit ribosomal RNA", at positions 355 to 776 of the family's 1533-position model. The record is from RNAcentral.